AGUGUGUUACCUGCCGACAGCAUAAUGUGAGGCAAGGUCUAGCUGUUCCCCCCCGGCAUACAAGCUUAUAGAGCAGCCUCCUUUGAAGAUCUCCAGGUGGACUUCACAGAGAUGCCAAAGUGUGGAGGUGUUCGAGUGUGGAUCAAGGACUGGAACGUAGCCUCUUUGUGCCCAUGGUGGAAAGGACCCCAGACUGUCGUCCUGAUCACUCCCACUGCUGUGAACGUAGAGAGAAUCCUAGCCUGGAUCCAUCACAACCGUGUAAAACCUGCAGCGCCUGAAUCCUGGGAGGCAAGACCAAGUCUGGACAACCCCUGCAGAGUGACCCUGAAGAAGAUGACAAGCCCUGCUCCAGUCACACCCAGAAGCUGACUGGUCCACGCACAGCCGAAGCAUGAGGAAGCUCAUUGUGGGCUUCAUUUUUCUUAAAUUUUGGACUUACAGUAAGGGCUUCAACUGUUCUUACUCAAACUGGGGACUAUUCCCAGUGUAUUCAUCAGGUCAGUGAGGUAGGACAGCAAAUGAAAACAAUCUUUCUGUUCUAUAGUUAUUAUCAAUGUAUGGGAACGUUAAAAGAGACUUGUUUGUAUAAUGCCACUCAGUACAAGGUAUGUAGCCCAGGAAAUGACUGACCUGAUGUGUGUUAUAACCCAUCUGAGCCCCCUACAACCACCAGUUUUGAAAUAAGAUUAAGAACUGGCCUUUUCCUAGGUGAUACAAGUGAAAUAAUAACUAGAACAGAAGAAAAAGGAAUCCCCAAACAAGUAACUUUAAGAUUUGACGCUUGUGCAGCCAUUAAUAGUAACAAGCUAGGAACAGGAUGUGGUUCUCUUAACUGGGAAAGGAGCUACAGAGUAGAAAAUAAAUAUGUUUGUCAUGAGUCAGGGGUUUGUGAAAAUUGUGCCUUUUGGCCAUGUGUUAUUUAGGCUACUUGGAAAAAGAACAAAAAGGACUUGGUUCAUCUUCAGAAAGGGGAAGCCAACCCCUCCUGUGCUGCCAGUCACUGUAACCCACUAGAACUAAUAAUUACCAAUCCCCUAGAUCCCCAUUGGAAAAAGGGAGAAUGUGUAACCCUGGGGAUCAAAGGGACAGGGUUAAACCCCCAAGUUGCCAUUUUAGUUCAAGGGGAGGUCCACAAGCACUCUCCCAAACCAGUGUUUCAAACCUUUUAUGAGGAGUUAAAUCUGCCAGCACCAGAACUUCUGAAAAAGAUAAAAAAUUUGUUUCUCCAAUUAGCAGAAAAUGUAGCUCAUUCCCUUAAUGUUACUUCUUGUUAUAUAUGCGGGGGAACCACUAUCAGAGACCGAUGGCCUUGGGAAGCCUGAGAGUUGGUGCCCACUGAUCCAGCUCCUGAUAUAAUGGGGGCUUGUCCAGGAUCUCAUCAGGACUGGAUGGCUCUCGCUGGACUAUACUGGAUAUGUGGGCAGAGAGCCUACAUUCAGUUACCUAAUGAAUGGGCAGACAGUUGUGUUAUUGGCACUAUUAAGCCAUCCUUUUUCUUAUUACCGAUAAAAACUACUGGUACUAUCUGUAAAUUCCAGACAUUGUAUGAGAAAGCACUGUAAAACUUUUUGUUCUGUUAGCUGAUAUAUGUAGCCUCCAGUCACAUUCCUCAUGCUUACUUGAUCUAUCAUGACCCUUUCACGUGGACCCCUUAGAG
This 1660-nucleotide long non-coding RNA is filed under the name Homo sapiens (human). RNAcentral's name for it is "non-protein coding lnc-CST7-1:6". The record is from RNAcentral. Lineage: Eukaryota; Metazoa; Chordata; Mammalia; Primates; Hominidae.